AUUGAACGCUGGCGGCAUGCCUAACACAUGCAAGUCGAACGAGUGGCGGACGGGUGAGUAAUUUCUGGGCAACUACCUAAUCUAGGGGGAUAACUACUGGAAACGUUAGCUAAUACUGCCUACCAUCAGUUGUGCCCAGAUGGGAUUAGCUUGUUGGUGGGGUAACGGCUCACCAAGGCGACGAUCCCUAGCUGGUCUGAGAGGAUGACCAGCCACAAUGGGACUGAGACACGGUCCAGACUCCUAGGGGAGGCAGCAGUGGGGAAUAUUGGGCAAUGGGAGAAAGUCUGAUGCAGCAAUGCCGCGUGUAUGAAGAAGGCGUUCGGAUUGUAAAGUACUGUCAGCGGGGAGGCGUUAGCCAAAGAGGAAGCACCGGCUAACUACGUGCCAGCAGCCGCGGUAAUAC
RNAcentral lists this ribosomal RNA (406 nucleotides) under uncultured bacterium. Its description in RNAcentral is "partial 16S ribosomal RNA". It matches the Rfam family "Bacterial small subunit ribosomal RNA", at positions 30 to 526 of the family's 1533-position model. The record is from RNAcentral.